UUAACAACCAAGCUUAUAAAUCUAUCAUUAAACUUCAAAAACAUCACAAAUUAAUCCAUGGCAUAACUCAAAACAUUUGACAAUUGUAAUACCCGAUUUUGGCCCGGGUAAAAGGCCCAAAUUACAAACGGGCCACAAGGCCCAAACUGAAAUAAACAGAGGCCCAAAAUUAGACCCAGGCCCGAAGCAAUUUCAGAAACCCUAGGGUUUCUGAGGGAGCCUCCUGCCGCAAGCCAAACGCCGGAUCUCCGUGGUCUUCACCUGCAAAGGAAACAAACAAUACAAGGAAAGAAAUAAACAACAAAGAAAAUCAAAGAUUCGUAAAUCAAAUCAAAUGAGAUUUGUUUCUUUAUUUUUCAUUCGGCUAUAAAAUAGCCAUUGUAAUACUGUAAAAAGCGGAUCCCAAAUUGGAAAUCAAUAAAAAGAAAGAAAAUAUUCUCACAGUAGAGACAGAGAGCAAAAUUGACCGGAAAGGUUGACAUUGUGCAAUUUUUAUUUGUUAUAUUUAUUAUUUUCAUUCUUUCCUACAUACAAAUAAAAGAAAAAGAAGUAAAGGAGAAAGAAACGACCCGAGUGGUGCCUAGAAUCACCGUGAAUGGCCGGAAACCGAAAGGUUUCUCGGAGAUUUGAUGUUCUUCCGGUGAUAUUUUGAGGGUUUUAGGGCCAAAAAUGGGCUUAAGGGCUUCGGAGGAGCCAGAUUUGAAGUUUUCCCCGUUUUCGGCCACCGCAGACGGCGGCGCCGGCGCCGGAGAUCAGCGGCCGGCACGAUGGCCGGUGACCGGCCGAUGAUCGGACUGCUGGAAAGGGGGGAGAGUUU
This 817-nucleotide long non-coding RNA is filed under the name Gossypium barbadense (sea-island cotton). Its description in RNAcentral is "long non-coding RNA (GBAR_LNC017917)". Lineage: Eukaryota; Viridiplantae; Streptophyta; Magnoliopsida; Malvales; Malvaceae. The record is from RNAcentral.